This is a long non-coding RNA of Oncorhynchus keta (chum salmon), 1252 nucleotides long. RefSeq lists it as uncharacterized. The transcript is spliced from 3 exons. The record is from RefSeq and is a predicted model, not a curated record. NCBI's taxonomy places the organism in Eukaryota, Metazoa, Chordata, Actinopteri, Salmoniformes, Salmonidae.
GACAGGGGAAAGAACGAGAGAGAAAGGGAGAGAGACGGAAGGAAAGACGGAAAAGGAGAGCAAUUAGUUAAAAGAAUAUUACAAGCAUAUAAACCGCCCCCCCAGCUAGUCUUUGCUAAAUAUUAACCCGACCCAGACUGACCCAGACUUCCAGGAAAUGGCAUGUUGGUGUGAUGUAAUCUAAACUUGAGCACUGUUUUUCUGUGAACUGUGAAAGGUGUUCCGGUGUGAUGUCUAUCACGGGAGACUAGGUUGCCCUUACAAAUUGAGUUAGACCUGUAAUGAUGUGAAGCUCAAAACAAAUCCCUGUGCUUCCUGGAAUGUGUCUCUUCUCUUUCUUCUUUCUCCUUUGACUUGUCUGCAGCCCCAGGAAGUAGUGUCUGGUCUGCUUUUACACAAAGGUUAGUGUCUGGUCUGCUUUUACACAAAGGUUAGUGUCUGGUCUGGUCUGCUUCUACACAAAGGUUAAUGUCUGGUCUGGUCUGCUUCUACACAAAUGUUAGUGUCUGGUCUGGUCUGCUUCUACACAAAGGUUAGUGUCUGGUCUGGUCUGCUUCUACACAAAGGUUAGUGUCUGGUCUGGUCUGCUUCUACAUAAAGGUUAGUGUCUGGUCUGGUCUGCUUCUACACAAAGGUUAGUGUCUGGUCUGGUCUGCUUCUACACAAAGGUUAGUGUCUGGUCUGGUCUGCUUCUACACAAAGGUUAGUGUCUGGUCUGGUCUGCUUCUACACAAAGGUUAGUGUCUGGUCUGGUCUGCUUCUACAUAAAGGUUAGUGUCUGGUCUGGUCUGCUUCUACACAAAGGUUAGUGUCUGGUCUGGUCUGCUUCUACACAAAGGUUAGUGUCUGGUCUGGUCUGCUUCUACACAAAGGUUAGUGUCUGGUCUGGUCUGCUUCUACAGAAAAAAGGUUAGUGUCUGUGAAGUACUGCCUGCUGCUACAGACCUGCUUAAGGCCAGAGUCUGCUGUAUAGAACUCUCUGCCAUACUACAUCCUGAUGAGUCUGCUGUAUAGAACUCUCUGCCAUACUACAUUCUGAUGAGUCUGCUGUAUAGAACUCUCUGCCAUACUACAACCUGAUGAGUCUGCUGUAUAGAACUCUCUGCCCAGCCAGCUAGCAGCUAUCCUCCUGGAGGGCCUCUGGCUCCUUUCAUAGAAACAUGUCCACUCACGGUUUGGCUGCAUUCACCUUUGUCCAUGCACUGAAUGUCCCAUUGGAUCUUCCCAACCUAACCUUAAUCCUAAUCCUAAC